GGCCGGCACUGCGAUCCUCUCAUCGCGGGAAGCUAUUUGCUCAGAAGAAUCAUAGAAGGCUGGUUGCGACCAUGGAGCAGGCUGGGGCCACGGAGGGGGCUGUGCCGGGCCAGCAACUGGGCUUGAUAUCCCCCUGGAGAAGGCUUCUGGUGGAGGUGAGACUGCAGAGUAUGGUGGUGGCGCAGGGAAGUCAGGGAUGGGACUUGUCACACUCUGUGUUGGGGAGAAUGGGGCCGCUGUCUGGUUCACAGAUCCCAGGAAGGGCUUGGCGGUUCUGUUCAUGGGGAUCAUCCUCUGGGGCCCUGCUGUCUCAGACACUCCACUGAAGCCAUUCUGUUGUGGCACACUGCCAAGACUGCGUCCCAUCUGGAAGGAGCUCUCACUCACAGAGCUCUGCAUUCUCACCGAUUCUUCUUUUCUUUGAUAAGAAGUCAUGGUUCUCAGACCGUCCGUCUGUAGGGCAUCUGAUCCUCCGCCUGCUAGCCCACCGGUCUUUUCCUCUUCAUUUUGGGCUGUGAACUGUUCCAUCCUCUCUCUCCUCUUGGCAAACAUGAGCGCUCCCUUGCCUGUGGUGUCGGGCAACAUCUCCAUCUUGUCGCCUCGGUUCAGCCUCUUUUCAAUGUCCACCAGUCCAGAAUCCCAAUCGAAGUUCACAACUUGGGUGUUGUCGUCCACGUCAGACAGUAACUCUUCAUCCACUUCCGACUCGCUGGUUCCAAGAAAUGCAAGGUCACUUAUCUCGUCCUUGUCACCUGCUUCCUGGUCCUCCUCUUCCUCCUCUCGCUCAAGCUCUCCAGUACCGUAACUGACUAGGGUGUACUUCCGGGCUCUCCGCCUCCGCUUCUUAAACAUCAACACCCCCUUGGAGUUCGGGUUGGGAGCAUCCGUUAGGAGGAGGGCGAUGCUUUUGCAUUUAGACUUGGCUUCUUUUACUUGCUUUUCAGACAGACUUUCACUCCUCCUGAGCCGGGCAUGCCUCGCUCUGUGCUUGUGUGGUCUGCCCUGGUCCUUUCCCGAGCGU
RNAcentral lists this long non-coding RNA (1021 nucleotides) under Rattus norvegicus (Norway rat). Its description in RNAcentral is "long non-coding RNA NONRATT015757". Lineage: Eukaryota; Metazoa; Chordata; Mammalia; Rodentia; Muridae. The record is from RNAcentral.